AUGACAUCAUUGGCACCACCACUGAGGAGGUUGUCCUUAUGGCAAGACAGGGUAAUGCUAUUCCUUGAUGCUAUCUUGGAAAUGGUGAUUAUAGAGCUUCAGAACGGCCCAUGAAUGGUUCUCUCUGAUGGUGACAACACAUAAAGAGUGCUCGGUUCUCUCUGGUGGUGACGACAUAGAAAGAGUUCUCGGAUAUAGGCGGCUUUACACAAUCAUGCCUUUCAAUUGAUCUUCUAUUUCAACCGUUUGUUAAUAUAUAUAACUUCAUUCACAAACUCCCCCCCCCCCCCCCCCCCCUCCUUUUAAAUUUGUGUGCCUGUUACCUUGCCAGUGUCUGAGAAUGUAAUGUGCUUGGAAUGUUAAUAGAGGAACAAUGUUGAUUUUUGUCAUUGAAUCUUAUCUAUAUGUAAACAUAUAUUCUGCUUUAUUUUUUUUAAAGAGAAAAGUCACCAUUUUCA
Quercus lobata is the source of this 458-nucleotide long non-coding RNA. RefSeq lists it as uncharacterized. The record is from RefSeq and is a predicted model, not a curated record. The transcript has 2 exons. NCBI's taxonomy places the organism in Eukaryota, Viridiplantae, Streptophyta, Magnoliopsida, Fagales, Fagaceae.